Molecule: non-coding RNA, 1177 nt
Organism: Pelobates cultripes (western spadefoot toad)
Lineage: Eukaryota; Metazoa; Chordata; Amphibia; Anura; Pelobatidae
Source: the annotation of a GenBank genome assembly
CAGACCAGUGGGGAUUAUCCCGAUCCCCGCUGGGGAAACUUCCCUCACGCAUGCCACAUGGUCCCCCACUGAAAUGCCAACCAUGUGGCGAACCAAACUUGGCCGCCGCUCCUCACCCUCAGCUGCCUCAGGACUAUACAGUCAUCCAGAAAUGGAGGGAGCAUUUGAUGCUCUCUGCCACAAGUUUUGGAGGCGCAUUUUCCACCGACAGUACACCCCUGCCGUGCCGGUUAGGCUGAAGACUGCAACGCACACCCGGCCUGGCCCUAGACCGGGGUCCCACCUGAAGAAAUCUCCAAGCAGCCAAACGGGCAUCUGGAGGACUCCCGGCUGGCAGAGCGCCAUUGGACCCGCUCUCAAACAGCACGGGGGCGGAGAAUCAAAGACCGCAUGGCUGCAGAUCAACCUGCAAAUCAAGCGCUGCGAGGUGAAGACCCCUUGCACAGACAACCCCACACGGCACUACGGCAUGUAACCUGGCUGGGGCAGUGGAACAACGCUGACCCGACAAAAUAUCCAGGCAGCUUCCCACUAUUAGGGAUCGGAUGAAAGGGGACUCAUGCAAGAUGAAGGCCAACAAAUCUCCUAUGCUUACAAGCUGCAAGCGUGUACUCAUAAUUUUAUUUUGCUUUUGGCCUGUUGCCUUAUAUUCUAUUAUUUAAAAUGCCCUCACAUCGAGAUAUAUAUGCUAUUUAUAGUAAUAAUGUUACUGCUGUGAAAUGCAGGGAUCCAUCUUUGCAUAUUAUACCAUGUUAACUGUACCCAAUUGCUGUAUAGCACUUCUGGUAUCUCAUGUUAAAUUUACCUCACGUAGUAAUACCUAGCUCUAUAAUUCUCUCUGUAACAUUUACACUCACUUUAUACCAAGCUAAUAGAGAUGCGUUUUAGACCUUGAUUUUCUCUUACGGUGUUUAAGGGCAGAGCUCAUUGUGUUUUAUAGUAAACCUCCCAUACAUGUCUGGAGGGCCUUGUUAUCCUAUAGGCUAACUCUCUGAUCUCUCUGCAACCUGUGUGCCUAACCUGAACACCUACGUUUUGAUUUAGCCACCCACCACGGCUCCAUAACCUUUUUAGCCUACUGAUAACUGUGUAAAACACCCGCCUUAUAUUUGCAUAAGCCUGAUAUUUCUUUCUUAUUACUUAAAAAAAGAAUCGUGCAGUUUUCGUGAUACCAUGC